GCACCCGUAGCUCAGCUGGAUAGAGUGCUGCCCUCCGAAGGCAGAGGUCGUGAGUUCGAAUCUCGCCGGGUGCGCCA
This 77-nucleotide transfer RNA is filed under the name Alphaproteobacteria bacterium 43-37. Its description in RNAcentral is "tRNA-Arg". It matches the Rfam family "tRNA". From Rfam's summary of the family: Transfer RNA (tRNA) molecules are approximately 80 nucleotides in length. Their secondary structure includes four short double-helical elements and three loops (D, anti-codon, and T loops). Lineage: Bacteria; Pseudomonadati; Pseudomonadota; Alphaproteobacteria. The record is from RNAcentral. RNAcentral also lists the same sequence under 1 other name.